CCUACGUGAGGCAGCAGUGAGGAAUAUUGGUCAAUGGGCGAGAGCCUGAACCAGCCAAGUCGCGUGAGGGAGUACUGCCCUAUGGGUUGUAAACCUCUUUUGUCGGGGAGCAAAAGCCGGACGUGUCCGGCUGUUAGAGUACCCGAAGAAAAAGCAUCGGCUAACUCCGUGCCAGCAGCCGCGGUAAUACGGAGGAUGCGAGCGUUAUCCGGAUUUAUUGGGUUUAAAGGGUGCGUAGGUUGUUUUUUAAGUCAGCGGUGAAAGUUUGUGGCUCAACCAUAAAAUUGCCGUUGAAACUGGAAGACUUGAGUGGGUUUGAGGUAGGCGGAAUGCGUGGUGUAGCGGUGAAAUGCAUAGAUAUCACGCAGAACUCCGAUUGCGAAGGCAGCUUACUAAGCCAUAACUGACACUGAAGCACGAAAGCGUGGGGAUCAAACAGGAUUAGAUACCCCUGGUAGUC
This 460-nucleotide ribosomal RNA is filed under the name uncultured bacterium. Its description in RNAcentral is "partial 16S ribosomal RNA". It matches the Rfam family "Bacterial small subunit ribosomal RNA", at positions 338 to 795 of the family's 1533-position model. The record is from RNAcentral.